UACGUAGGGCGCAAGCGUUGUCCGGAUUUAUUGGGCGUAAAGAGCUCGUAGGCGGCCUGUCGCGUCUGCUGUGAAAGCCCGGGGCUUAACUCCGGGUCUGCAGUGGAUACGGGCAGGCUAGAGGCCGGUAGGGGAAAGUGGAAUUCCUGGUGUAGCGGUGAAAUGCGCAGAUAUCAGGAGGAACACCGGUGGCGAAGGCGGCUUUCUGGGCCGGGCCUGACGCUGAGGAGCGAAAGCGUGGGGAGCGAACAGG
RNAcentral lists this ribosomal RNA (253 nucleotides) under uncultured bacterium. Its description in RNAcentral is "partial 16S ribosomal RNA". It matches the Rfam family "Bacterial small subunit ribosomal RNA", at positions 524 to 776 of the family's 1533-position model. The record is from RNAcentral.